CCAGCCCCCUGGCCCUACCCAGCCUCCCCCAGCUGUGGUGGCUGUAGCCACCUCCCUGGCAGCUGUUUUCUUGCCCAGACGUCCCAGGAACUCAUCUCUCCUGCUCCCGACAGGCUCAGGCAGCCCUCCUUCCCAGCAGGCAGAAGCACGGGGCCUGCUCCAGACCCAGGAGGUCACCAGCGCGUGUGGGCAGUGGGCAGAGACCUGCGUCAGGUGUGAGGGCCCAGCGUGGACGAGGAAUCCAAGCUCCAGGAGUACAGACUGCUGACGUACUGCUGCACCCUUGGCAUCCGGCACGGCGGCGCCUGGCACCAAGUAGACACUAAAGACUCCAGCGAACAGUGGCAGUGGGCGAUGUGCAGACGACUCUGGAGUCCCACUCACCCAUCAGCGCCUGGCUCCCUAGCAGAUGAAGCUGCUCCAAUUUACUCCCUGCCAGGAUGUUAUAUAACAGCGAUUCCACACGCUGACGUGUACCUAGUAUGGUCUCCCGGGAAGACCACCGCAACGUGGGAGAUUACGGACGUGCGAGAAGGGAUGAACUUGCUGUGUUCAGUGUCCUAAGAUCAAGGUCCUUCACCCUUCUCCACCAGACACAUUUGGACCUCACCGGAGACAUGCAGCUUUGUUAAAGAAAAAGGCAAAAUCUUGAAGACUGAAAAUGAAUUCAUUAAUAAUAAAAGUAGCCAUUU
RNAcentral lists this long non-coding RNA (692 nucleotides) under Equus caballus (horse). Its description in RNAcentral is "lncRNA (ENSECAG00000056108.1)". The record is from RNAcentral. Lineage: Eukaryota; Metazoa; Chordata; Mammalia; Perissodactyla; Equidae.